Long non-coding RNA from Pseudopipra pipra, 15499 nucleotides. RefSeq lists it as uncharacterized. The record is from RefSeq and is a predicted model, not a curated record. Lineage: Eukaryota; Metazoa; Chordata; Aves; Passeriformes; Pipridae. The transcript is spliced from 2 exons.
AUAGUAGGUAUUCAUUAAUGGUUCCUCUGACGUGUAAUUCUUUGCCUGGCUUGUGAUAUAAAAUCCUGCUAGCUGCUGAGCACUGAUGGAGCUGUGGGAUCUGUAGCAGGUCUGCAAUGCGCUGCCAGUGCCGUUCCUCGGGAGCACAGAGCUCCCGGGGCAGCCCUGGGGGCUCUCGUCUCCUGCCUCAGGGUUCAUUCGUCUACCACUGUUGCUUGUGUCACUUUUUUAACUUGAAGGCCUUCUGGCAGCUGCAAAUGUGUUUCAGUGAAGAUACAAAUACUCAUGAGGUGUUUGAUCUAGGCUGCUGAUAGAUAGGUGUGGGUUGAUUUAAUGUGUUCAAAUUAUAUUCCAGCAGUUCCAAAACAUAAUAGGACCAUAACAGCUUUACCCUGAAGCACUGUUAGAAGUAUUUAUAAUAAGUUGCUGCAUUUUACUACUAACACUCAUGAAGGCAACUGCAACAGGUCUCUGACACCAGCACUUUAUAUUACACUACAACUAACUUUGUAGCUGACAAUUGUGCUUUCUAAAUACUUUGAAAGGAACAUUACCAAGUUUUUGUAGAGAAAUGUCAUUUGUAGUUCAUGUAAACAGGAAGAGCCAUAAAUGGCCUGUUUCUUUUAAAGAAAGAAAUUGGUGUGUCAAAUUUACUUUUACUGCAUUCAGGUUGCUUUUUGGGUCUGAAAAUUGCAUGUUACAAAAUUUGUUAGAACAAUUAAGCAAAAUAAAAAUAGGAUUUGAAAAUGUAUGAAAAGAUAAAAAGUAAAUCUUUAGAUGAUUAAAAAGAAAUCAAAUGUAGUCAUGAUGAUGAUUCAGCCUUGCAUGUCUUAUGGUACCUGAUCCCAUUGCAGACAUAUUUUCCUUUUUAAUUUUUUAUUUUAAUUUAUUUCAUUCAGCUUUUGUCAUCCUUUCUGCACUUAGGAAAAACAUGACUAUAUUACUGGGCAUUUAUUCAGCUCAGUUGUUGGCGUCAAGUUUCUAAACCUUGCUGAGUAAACCAAAUGGGUUGGUUUCAACCUGCUUAGUUUCUAGUUCAUACCUAAAAAAAACCACAAAGAAACCUUUGUAAAAACCCAUUCUGCUUUCAUUUACAGCUUUUAUGGUGUGUGUGUGAAGUUCAUAAAAUUCUCAGCCUUAAAGUAUUGGUAACUCUUACACAAAAGGACCAGACAACAUUUUCUGACUCGUGCUGGGAUUUAAUUGUGCAACAUAAAAGGAGUUCUCAGCCCAGUGCAGAUCUAAGAGUUAGAACCAAGCAGCAGAGCUGUGGAGUCAUGUCCAAACUCCUGUCACCCUCUUCGUUAAAUUAUGUGAAAGAUCCUUAGGGAUGUGUGGCAUCUCCCCAGAGAUGUGUGCCACAGAAAGAACUGAAGUGGCCAUAGAAUUGUAGACUGGGUUGGGUUGGAAGGGACCUGUUAAAGGUCACCAGUACAUCCCCCCUGCAGUGAGCAAAGAUAUCUUCAGCUCCAUCAUUCCAUAAGAGCUUUCUCUCGUGCUUCUAUUCCAUGUGUUUCAUAAUUGUUUUCCUGUGGAAGGAUGUGACUUAGCACAGGUUUAAGAGGAGAACUGUACGUAAUGUGCUCCAGAAGAAACCUUUAAAAUCAGCUAUCAGUUAAGAGUGGAGAAAGAUGGAGAUGUGGGAGAGAGCCUCCAUUCAGUAGCUGGGGGGGUUAUUUUGCUUUUAAAGCACAUGCACAUUGCCAUCAGUGUCCAAAAGGGGCCCAUCAGUGAUCCUUCCACUGCUUAGGUGUGACAUUUAGAGAUAUUCUUUAGGGUUUCUGUUCAGUGGUUACCAGUAUUUACCCCAGGACUGGCCUCUCUGCAGAGUCCCUGUGAGCCCUUCAGUGGGAGCAGGGAUUCCUCAGGAUGCAGCUGGCUCUGGAGGCACAGCUGGGAGCAUGGCCUGGCCAUCCCCUGCUCAGCUCUGGGCACUACAAUGAGCUCAGCCCUGUUUCCCUGCUGCCCCUGCUGCUGAAGGCUCACUGCCUCACACUCUGGGAACGUUUUACUGCCCACUAUGAGUAUUUCAAGAUGCUACAACUGAUCAGCUUUGAAUAAUUGCUGUUAACAUUUUGAGCUUUUAUCACCAAGUAGUAGUUUAUGAGAUUUUUGUUCCGGUGUACAGAAAGAUGUAACUUCUGGAAAUCAACUGUAGGGAUUCAUUAGUUAUGUAUGAUCUUUUGAACAUACAAAUUCCUAUAAAAAUACUGAUAUAAAGGGAUUUUGCAUUCUUUUCAAAUGCCUUCUUGAAAAUCUUUAAUGAAAUCUUUUAAUGAAAACUGUAAUCCAUAGUACUCUAUGCCCUUUUUAAAAUUUAUUUGUCUUUUAAGCCUGGGUAAUCUUGGCAAACAUCUGAGGAAAACUAAACAAGUAAAACAAAUGAUGAUCAUAAAAUUGUGUUCUUGAACAAUGUUUCCAGCCCCAGAAUUUUCCAGUUCUGAAAAAUUGUGUGAUUCAGAUAAAAGAAUUAAUCCAUACAUGCCUUCUAAUCCUUGGGCUCAGUUUUCAAGUUUCCUUCUGUACCAUUCCUGCAAGUAACUUAAAAUUGCAUAAAUAGUUGAGAUUUUCGCACUCAGCAUGAUUUUAUGGCUGAAGCAUUAGAAGAGAGAAUAGAAGAUGCAGCAAAUGUCAGGAGAUGACAACAGACAGUGUGUGCCCAUUUAUCUUACCAAGUCAGACAGACCUCUUGUAUAUGCCUGCAGCUUAUGAUGAGCUCCUCCGAGCUGAUCAAAGAGACACUUUAACUCAGAAUAGACUGGACUGAAAUCUAUAUGAUAUAAUUACCUUUUUAAACUGAGAGAAACACAAAGUGAUGGCAUGAGGCAGAGGGGGAUAAAUAGAAGUGAACAUCUCUUUCUUUCAUCACACUGUCCUUGUGGGAAGAUCCUUCCUUUCAGUCUCUGUCUCAGUUAGUCCACUGACCAAGUGGGUUGCUAUAGACUCUGCCCAGGCUCCUCUUAUCCCUGAGAAGUUCUUCUUUCCACCACCUGGAGACCUGGCUGUGUUUGCUCCUUUUGGCAAACUCCUGUCUGAACAUCAGGCUUCCAGCUCUGAUGUUACCUCUCACCUCUCCUCCUUGCUGUGCCCUUGACAGUGAGAGUUUCCAGCCUCUGGCUCUGUAGGGAAAGACUUGGUCCCUCUCCUACAGACAGCCUAGCCUGGCUGUUCCUUUUUUUGAGAAGAACAUAACAUAAAUCAAUAAACAAAAAUAUGGCUUAAUUGUAUUGUGCUGUCAUUGGGAAGUGAAAUUUAAAUUUGUUUUAGAGCAGGAUUUUUCCUCCUCUCUCACAUGUAAUGAUAUACAGAAAAUGCACAUAAAAGUAUUUACAGAGAUUUCAUUCGCACCAAAUAAACCACAAAAAUUUCUGGUUAAGUCAUAAGUUAACUGGGAGUUUUCUUGCUAUGUAAACCUACAGGUACAUAAAAAUGUGAUCUGAGAUAUGCCUCUGUCCAGUCAAUACUUAGACAAGGAAUUAGUGUCUGAAGUGAGGUGGCAUCAGGUGAUUCUUCUCACCCACAUCAGGGCACAGUGGUGAUUGCUGACAUCAUGUUCGUUCUUCCUAAGCCUGGAUUACACCAAUCCAAGCAGUUUUGGAUAACACACAGAUACUUCACACAUAUUCUUCAGGUGAUGAAAAUCAGCUAGAAUUUAUAUGUGGCUUUGUUCUAUGUGGGAAAUUACUGUGGAAAUGACUCUGAAACAAACAUUUGGUCAUCUGGUGUGGCACUUUCUUUCCAUCUUCACUUUUGCCCAAGUUUGUGAUGUCUAUUUGUGUCUGAGUGGUACAUCCACUUCCUUUCUCUAUGAGCUGUGAGGUCUGUGCUUGGGCUGAAAAUAGAAGGAGAAGAAAAAGGUAGAACUGUGUUGGGGGUGGGAAUGUAGGCAAUAGCUUGUGAGUAUGGAUGCUGAAAUCUUUAACGCUAGAUUAAAGCGUAGCCUCUUUUCUCCUUAGACUAGCAUAUAGGGGUUUCAUAUAUUUGAGUGCAAAUCAGAAAAAAAAUCCACAAUGCUGAUUUUUAAGAUAUGCUAAGUAUUGUCAGUUGUCAGGGAAUAAAAUUUGAGAGAUGAAUUUUUUUGUAGUUUUGAAAAGGAGCACUUCAGCGAGUGUUUAGUUCUGCUGUGUGAUCAGUGUGUCCUCUCCUGCUCAUUUAUCACUGAUACAGUCCUGCAGACGGGUCUAAGAUGCCUUUGCAAAUGCUAUCUGUUCAAAAGAUGGGAAGCCUGGCGUAGGAAGCACUUAGUCAGACAAUUAUCCUUGUUGGGGCUCCACAGCUUCUUGGCAAGGGCUGUUGUGUCUUAUCCAUUACGGCUGGAGCCGGUCUGAGGGAGUGAUAGAGUGAUUUAAAAUAAAUAUCUGAGAGGAGAGAAUUGAAAGGAGUUGGAAUAGUGUAGUUCCCUGUUCUUCAUCCCCAAUAUAUUUCACUUUUAAUUCUGCAUGUAAAAGUCUCCUUACUAUAUGUUUUUGAACUCCCAGUGGUAUAGGAACAAUUCAAUGCAUGUUGGGACCAUCCGUUUUUGUUUUGUGGUUUCUUUACAUUUUAGUAAACCUCUUCCCUUUCAUUAGAAGAGGCUGACAUAAAAAUAAUAUUUUCAAUAUGCUGUUUUUAUUUAUCUACAUUCUGUCAUGAUAUACUUUGAUGUAAGUUUUUAAUUUUGCUUCAGCUUUCAGCUGCUGUAGCAGUUACUGCUCAGGGUCAGCGAUGAGGUUAGCCACAGUAGCACAAAACAAUUUCCUGUGCUCUCAGCCCAGGUAGCAUUUGGAUGUGGAUUAAAUUUUACCACAUUUUCCAGUAGCCAGACACAAUUAUUUCUAAUGAGCUUUAAAUUGCUUCCAUAACAUGUAUUUCAAAACUUAGUGUGGUAAUCCAUUCAGUGCCAACUUCAUAAGAUAACGGGUCUUCUUCAAAAUUUUGGUUAAACUGAUUCUUGCUGUCUAACAGGUAUUUCUCAGCAGCAGCUGAGCUUGACAGUGGAGUGCUCAGUGCUCUCAGCUGUGUUGUCUGCCCUCCUCUCUCCUGUGACAGUAGUUCCAGAAUAUAUUGCACUUCAUUAUGGACUCAUGUUUUGGAAUCAGUUUCUUUUGGCAAAUUUACCUUGGGCGUGCUCAUUGGGCUGAUUUGAGAGGUUUUAUGCACAUUUUGUUGUUGUGGAAGCUUUAAAAAAAUCAUUUCUUGAAGCUCUUAUCUUUAUAAUUCACAUUUUCCUGUUUUGUCUGGCCCCUUCUUUGCACUGCCCAGCAUUCCAAAUGCCUAGAAGGUGUAUGUUCAACCAUCUUUAUGGGUAGUGGUGAAUAAUAAAAAUAGGAAAGGGGAAAAGGCAAAAACCAUUUUUCUCUAUAAAUGUGAUACAUUUUCACAACCUUUGUUUAAUCUCACCAAAGUCUUCGUCUAAUUCACACAUGUUAAAAUAUGAUUUAGUUGUAUUAUUAUCUAAAGUGCUUAUUGGUCUGAAGUCUAGAACAAGCCCUGCUGAAAUGAAACUCAGCCAUAAGAAAAUCACUUUGUGUUACAGCUUCUCCUGUAAAAGCAAUUAAGGAGGAGAGCUGAAAGGAAAGCUGUGUGUCCUGACGUGCUCCCGUGUCUGGGGGGGAGUGAGGGAAGGAGCUGGGAGGGCCCUGGAGUGCUGAGCUGUGGGGUGCUGAGCCGUGGGGAUGUUCUCUGCGGGCAGAGCAGCCCAGCCUGCUGUUGGCUGGCUCAGUACUUCCCUCUGCAUAUGCACACUUCUUUUUUCCAGCUCCUUUGGUUGUACUAAGGAGUCUUUCAGUGAUUAACUCAUUAAAAUUCACAGCCAAAUUCAAGACUAUAUUUCCUCUCCAGCAGUUUCACCAAUAUCUUUAAAAAUCCUUUUCUUAUUCCUGUCAGAAUUUUGUAUCACCUCUGAGGCUCAGAGUACACAAUUUCUGUGAGUGACAUUGCUGUCAAAUGCAGGGCAAAAAGUUGGAUUAAAGGAAAUUAUUGAGAAUUUUGAAAGUCAGUAUGUUUUAAGAUUGUGUGAUGCAAUUUCUCCCACAUUAAGAAGAAAUUGGUGCAAGUUGGAUUUUUUCGUUUGAUUUUUAACUCAGUAGUAACACUGGGACUGCCCUGAUUAGUCUCUACAGAGUUUUCGUUUUGACAGGAGCUAUGGAUUUCAAACACAAUUUUUAAGUUCAACAUGUCAAAUGUCGCUUUUGUGUUGAUUUAAUUUCUUCAAAUUGUUUCUUUUAACAAUAACAGUUUAUAAAAAUAUAUUUUGGUCUUCCACUACAGGGAUUAUAAAUGUAAGCAUAUCCUCAGUAGCUGAGGAGUUGUUCCUGACCUGAUUCCAAGUACCUCAGUAAAUUAGUUUAUGUUCAGUAGUAUCCAUAGUGUGUAAAAAUAUUCCCCUGAAGCUCUUGCUAAAUGUUGCAAGUAGAUCAUUGUUUUUUUAUCUAGUCAAGCAUGGCACUUUAUUUCAUAUUUUUUUUCAAUAACUAAUGCUAAACCACUACUGUGUUGGAGCCCUGCAACCUCUGCAUCGCGCUGGGACCCGGCACCGCCUGGUCUUUCACCUCUGCUGCUCAUCUGAAAUCAGCAGUUCCCACUCUUAAGCCCUUUUAAAAUGAGUCCAUGAACACAGCACAGUUCUCUGUGUACUCUGUCCACUUGCAAAAAACAGCUUUUAAUGUCACACUAGACCCAAACUCUGCUCAGUGUUUCACUGAGGAGGGACAGGCCUCGAAUUCCCCCACUGCCAGGGCUGGGCCUCCCCACAGCCAGUCCUUUGUGCUCAUCAGUGGGUUUUAAUUACUGGGUGAGGUUUUAGUGAAGUAAUAAAAAUGAUGGAAUAUGAACACUAGUGGAUACCUCCUAGAAUUCAUGUUCCCAUGCUGAGGGACUCCUCAGGUUUUUCCAGCUUCUUUUCUCAUCAUCCAUUUUUCACAUUGAAUUCCAGUUAAUUUCCAUAUUAAGUACAUAAUUGCCUUCUUGACAAACUACUAAGCUCUUGCCAUCUGUUGUUGCUUAUUACACCAAGUACUUGACUGACCGGGGGCUGUAGGAUGUCAUGCUUGGACAGCUCAGCUACAAACCCAAGGCUGUUCCUUUCUUGGAUCCAGAACUUUGGUCAUUUCCUAAGCCAGGUAUGUGUUUGUGUUAAUGAAGUUGGGAUUUGCAGCAGUGAAUUUAAUAGUGAAGACCAGCUCAGGUUAGUUUACAGCACUCUUACCUUUCUGUCCUGUUUGUGCCCUGAGAAUUCUACCAUUCAACAGUGGUUUCCAAAAACAGUGUGUGCCUUCCCACUUGAUCUCACAGACAGAAUUUUGUAUUUCAUUUUAUUUUUUUCAUAGAAUUUGGAAUUCACAGAUUUUUCUCAAUAACUAGAACAGGACUUGUCAAAAAGGUUAAUGCUAAUUAAGAUGAUCUGUCUAGGAUAUAUUAAAAUACUGCACUGUGCGAAGCUAAAUGGAAUUUAAUUUUUUGUAAGUGUAAUUUCGCAGUAAUGUAAAGUAUUAAAAUAAUAUCCAGGUACACUAGGAGACUUUCUUAUUUUUCUGGUAUGUUUUUACUUUUCAAAGAUGUUUUGGAUACCAGCCCUGUUUAGUAUAACAGAGAUUUAACACCAUUUGGAGCUAAUUACUGUGCAUCACCAGUCACUUGGAUGGUACCUCUUCCCCAGUUACACUGCAGCAUUUGGCAAUAUCAAAAACUAAGCCAGUCUUAUUACCCACUUUUGGCAUAUCUUACCCAAGAUCAUAUGAGUUUCAUUACCAGUUUGGAACCUCACAUCUUAUUCUGACCUCAAUAUCUGAAGGACUUACUGCAGUAGGUAAGAAUUACUUACACUUGGCUAAAGGAAGAAUUCAUGUAUUUAGAUAUCUUAGAUUUUCAAAGCAGCACAUUCAUUUAUAUCUUUAAAAAGUUAAUAUCAAGGGACAGUGGAAAAUGCUGGCUUUUGAACAUUUAAAGAAUGUGACUAUUUUAGUUACUAGAACUAAGUUCUUUUAAACCUGUAGAUUUUUACAGAUAGUGUUUUUAAAUAUUCUUUUCUUACAAGCCUGAAUUGUUAAAAUUAUUAAUGUGCCUCCACUAGAAUUGUACUGAAAAUUCAUGCAUUUGUUAUUCAGAAGUAAAAUAUUAAUGUAUGUACAAGUAUCUGUGGGGUUUUGUUUUUAUUUGAUCAGCAUGGCUGUUGUAUAAAUAACACUUGUUCUGCACAGCUGUGAUGUGAUUUGAGCAAUGUAAAGGUAUCUGCCUGUGGAAAAAAGAAACCUGUUACUCAGUACUUCCUGAAUACGCUUUAGAGGAGAAUCAGAGCCAGGGAAGGAUACUUGGAGUAUGAUACAAACACAACAGUCUGAUUGCAAUUCAUUUAAUUCACUUACACUGUUUAAUUUAUGCUUUUGAACAAAAUAACUGUUCAAACAUUUGGGGUUUGGGCAGGGAGGUGAUAGUCUAAAGUAAUUUGGAAUAUGGAGAAGGAAACAGCAUUUGUGGGAAAUAAAAAUGAAUCAUGCAGUUACGUUCUGGUCACCCAGGAAUACCAUGCACAGUUUUUGACUGGGAAGCUAUUCAAAACUUUGAGUUGAAUUUAUUGAUUAGGCCAUUAUUAGGGAGAGAGAAAUAGGAAUGUAGAACAUUAGUGUGUGUAGAUGUUCUUGUGUAAUAGCUGGUGUUGCUCAUCCCUGCCCAGUGCCAGUCAGGCCCCACAGGAAUGAAGGAAGCCACUGAGGCUCAUGAGCACUCGUGUGUCAACACAUUCAGCAGUUUGUGGGAGCCCUCUGAGAGGAGAUGGGCAGUGAACAGCUGAGUAGCAGUGCUGAACAAGUAUUCAGGUCAUUCUGUUAUGUAACACCGAAAUCCAUCCUGUCCGAAAUAUUUUGGGUGCUUUGUCACCAUUCUGCCCAUGGUCUGGUCCUGCUGGGAGCCCGCCUGUUGCUGGGCUGCAGGUGGAUAUACUGCACUGAACCUUGACUUGGCCAACAGCUGCCAGUUCAGUGAUCCUGGGCUCUGUCAUCCUUCACACCUCUUCCACUUGAGAGACUGGUUUUGUUCAUUUUUAUAAUUCAUUAGCAUACCAAGUUUAAUUACCCAUCUCUUUGAAACUCAAACUAAACUAAUGUAAAAGAGAGAGAAGAAAAUGUAAAAGCUAAAUAAGUUUUAGCUUUCAGAUGUUCUGUUUAUUCUCCCCUCUCAAAAAGAUAGGAGGAGUGUGAAAAGUAUGUCUUUCCAGCUUUAGCUUCGAACUUUUGUGGUUUAGGUACCUGGGAGUUUAAUCAUGGAGAAUUACUAAUUUUUUAGGAACAUCUUAGCUAACUUGUAUUCUGUAGAAUUCCUAAUAUUCUGCUGAGAAAAGCAUCAACAAAACUUUUAACAGCUUACUUUUUUCAUAUUUCAUAGGCCAUAGAUUUGUUUAGCCAAUGCUCUCCUUCAGUUCAUCUCAAUGUCCUUAAUGCACCUAAAAUAAAUACUAAUAAACAGAGGGUGGAAUGCCAUCCUUGGAGAUAUUCCUAGAUACUGGACAAGGUCCUGCGGAACCUAUCUGGUGCUGACCCUGUUUUUGACAGGAGGUUGAAUGGAGGAUGGUCUCGUUUGGUUUCUGCCUCUGUCUUUAGGAUCCUAUGGGUAUUUUUCACUUGUAUUCACUUCUGUCCAAACUGCCUAUGCAGCCUCUAAUCUUUGGAAGGUCUCUCACACAUUCUGAGUAGUACUUGAUGGUUGAUGAAAAGCUCACCAUGGGCUGGCAGUGAGCACUGGUAGCCCAGAAAGCCAACAGAAUCCUGGGCUACAUGGAAAGGAGCGUGGCCAGCAGGUCAAAGAAGGGGAUUCUCCCCCUCCAUUCUGCUCUCCUGAGACCCCACCUGGAGUGCUGUGCACAAUUCUGGUGUUCCUAACACAAGAGGGCCAUGGAACUGUUGGAGCAAGGCCAGAGGAGGCCACAAAGUUGACAAGGAGACUGGAGCACCUCCCCUACAAAGGCAGGCUGAGAAAGUUGUGGCUGUUCAGCCUGGAGAAGAUUGUGUGGGGACCUCACAGCACCUUCCAGUGUCUGAAGGGGCUACAGGGAAGCAGGAGAGGGACACUUUGUCAGGAACGGUAGGGACAGGACAAGGGGAAAUGUGUACAAACUGAAAGAGGAAAUAUUUAGAUUAGAUAUUAGGCAGAAAUUCUUUACUGUGAGGGUGGUGAGACACUGGCACAGGUUGCCCAGGGAGACUGUGGAUGCCCCAACCCUGGCAGUGUUCAGGGCCAGGUUGGAUAAGGCCUUGAGCAACCUGGGAUAGUGUGAGGUGUCCCUGCCCAUGGCAGGGGGGGUUUGGGACAGGAUGGUCUUUAAGGUUCCUUCUAACCCUUAACAUUCUAUGAUUCUACUUAACUUCCCGCAAUCAGUCAGCUGAAAAAUGCUUCUUUUUUUUCCCUUUCCAUCUUGGAGUGAUAAAGUGAUUAUUUUUCCUUUAUAUCAUGUUUCUUAAUACUGUGUGUAUCAAGAAUUGAUAUGCAAGCCUGCCAUUAAAUUCCUUAUUUGUGUUAAAGAAAUUUUAUUUUCCAUACUCCUAUAAUGACAUGUCCAGAAGAAUUACUCUUUGGCUCUUAAUGUUAAUUUACUUGGUUUUGAUCAUCUCAAGAGUUAUUUACCUACCCUUUAUCCCUCUUAAAAUGUUGGUAUUUUUGACAUUACCAACUGUCAGACAUUGAAAUAUAAAUUUAUUUCCUGUGUGUUAUUUGGUCACAUACAUCCUUCUGCCCUCGGAAAACGGGUAAGUAGAUCCAAGCAUUGCCUUUUUCACUGAAUUGUAUCAGUGCCACAAGAACGUCUCAGAAUAGUAGGGCUUAGGGCUAUAAGCCAUCUGAGGGGAAAUUGUGUUUUAAACUGAUUAGAACAUAGAAGUCAUUUUCAGAAAUGUUUAUAAAAAUUAAAUAGCUGUCUUUUUAUUUUAAAAAUUAAAUGCCAGGAGAUCACUUCUCUUUCACAGAAAACAGUAUAUGACGUUUUUUCUCUAUUCUCUUUACGUAUGUGAAACCUUUGAGACUCUCAUUGUUGUCAGCUGUAAGACAAACAGUCCCCAAAUCCUUUUUUCUGAGGAGUGUUCAUUCUGUUGCUGAGUGAAUACCUUGCUUGAUUCCUCACUUUAUAAGCACUGUGAAGGAAUAUGUAUUCCUUCUGAGGCACCUCACUGUAAAUCAGCUGUAAUGGGAGGAUAAACGCUCCAAUAGUUCCCUUCAAAGUGUUUACCUGGCUUUUUCACAGCUGACUCAGUGGAUCAGAGCCUUUUAAGGCAGUCUGCCUGGCAUGUUGUCACUAAUCUCUGCAAAACUUUUCAAAGUCUUAUAUGAUUAAUAGUAUAGUAUGCUAUUCAUUGAGGAAAAAGUAAAACAUUUUUUCUGUCUUGCUGCCUAAUUUAGAUAUUAAAUUGUUUAGUCUCAAAGGCAAAGAAUGCCAGUAUUGAACUAUAUGCAGUUGAUGGACACGGAAAGUAUCAUUUAAUUCCCUCUCCUUGCCCUUAUUUGAAAAACAAAACAAAAUCUUUUAAUUUGCACAGAUUCAGCUGUGCAAAUGUUGUUAAACUGUUGAAAAGCAAUUCCGUUUCUGCUUGCUGUUGUCAUAUUGCUGAGACCAAAAGUCAUCCUCAAGUCUUCUGGGGCUUCUGUUGGCUUUUCUAAAAUAAUCUAAUCCGCUCUAACAUACAUGCUCAACUUAAGCUAAUGGCUGAUUGGAGUUGCAUAUAUAAGGCAAAACCACACAGAUAACAAUAAAGUACAUGUAAGGUUAGUCCUCAAACAUGAAAUGAAUGGCAAAGGAGAAACCCCAAGAGCUAGUGACUGGUGCCAGAGUCGUCAUCCAUGUCCUCUGCCCGUCACCAACCCCCCCUUGCCAUCAGGGAGGUCCAGAGAGAUGUUUUGCUUGACAAAGCUGCUGAACUGUUGCUGGGCCCAUGCUGGCACACACAGAGCUGGUUGUGGUGUUUCUGUAAAUUAUUCGUUCACAGUGAUGGAGCUGAGUUGACCAGAAGCAAGAAACACGGUUUGACUGCAUUUUUCCUGAUUAUCCCAAGCUUUUAUCUCAGUUUCUUUUAUAAUUCUAUCUUUAUUCUGUCUUCUCACCCAUUUAUCUGUCCAUAGCCUAGAACUGGUAGCUCCUCGUUGCUCCUGUUUGUUCUUUUUAUUUAGUUGGCUUGUCUCACUAAAUCUUAGUGAGAACACUAUUCUGCCCAGCACAGGGUUCCACAUGCCCAGAAGAGUCAUUCAAGGGAGUUUGCUUGACACUCCCUGUCUGCAAUCAAAAGGAAAAAUGAGCAUAGGGAGCAUAUUUGAUAUAUAGUUAUGGGCAAAUUUAAGUAGCUCUUAACACUCAUAUCAGAUUCUCAUGAGCAAAUGAUAGUGUGGACCUGUCUGCUGUCCUGCUAAAAUCACUUACUGUCAAAUGUAAAAUACCUACUUGUACAGUAUCAGCAUGUUUAGAACUACUGCUGUUUUGUAAACUGAUGAUAGUGAUUUACUUUGUAUUAUUCAAUUUAAAAAGAAAUAGAGUUAAGCACUGGUUAGGAAAUACAGCAGAACCCUCCUAUGAAAUAUGUAUUUUCAAAUCUCUCUCUUGUUGUUAUUGAUGGCGAUUCAAUUCCACCAUGAAUUGCAUUUCUAAUUUAUAUGCAGGACUAUUUGAGUUGAGAAUAUGGUAGUGCUGCCUUUGCUUUGGCAAGACUGACAGCUUUGAGCUCAGCUUUGCUCCAACAAUGUCUUGCCCUCCUGCCUUGUUGGGUUCAGCCCUCAGAAGCUCACCAGUCCUGUGGAGACAGAGCUGAGAUGCUCCAGCUCAUUUCUGUGAGCUGUUAGAUCACUCCCAGCUCCAGCUGCUGAGUCAACUGGUUGCUUUGGAAGAUCAAGCCUUAGGCCUUGUAUCUUCUCUGCCUGUAAAUGUCCCUUGAGUGUUCCUCCAAAACACCUCCAAAACUGCAAGAUGCAGUUAGGAUUUCAAUUGGUGAAGGGUUAAUAGUGUCAGCACAGAGCUUAAGGAGUUAAACAGACACUGAUCAAAAUACUUCAGGGUCUAGAGGGAUGUGUUUAAAUGAACACUGCAAGGUUGGCAGGCCUCCAAAUUAGCAUGGUUUAAAGAAUUCAAGGUACAUUUAAUUGGAUCCUUCUAAUCCCUUUUCCCUUAGAAUGAGCAUUUUAACAGUUUAAUUCCUCUUGCAACCCCCACAUCCCUUACUCCAGUGGCCCAUCUAAAAUAAAUACUGUGAACUAUAAAAGGCCUAGACAAGUUCUUGCUGAAGCCGGUGGCAACAGGAUGUAGUCCUCAACACUCCACUCAUUUGGAUCUGAUCUUUGGAAUUGCAGAGAAUAUCAGAUAGGGCCAAACCUUGCACCCAGCAGUGAAGAUACUGCACGUAUGUAAGGAGCUUCCAUCAGCUGGUGUUGGGAUGGAGCUGGCAGUGGUCAAACGUGUGGCCCUGGCCAGGAUGACAGAACAGGAGCUGGGAGGCAGCACAGGGGUCCAUGUCCAGUUUCCCAGGGAGUCCCUCAGUGCCAGGACAGAGGAAACAGCCCCUGGGCAGGGUAAGGUGCCCUGCUGUUUGCCAGAGGAAGUUUGAGAGGAGCCUGCAUGAGAACCAUGGACACUGGUUUUAAUGUAUUUAAACUGUAUUUAAUGUACUUUAACCCACUUGAAUUACAGUUGUUAAGCAAAAUUACUAACUGGCUGUUUUGUGAUGACCUUUUUACUGUCCUUAAUGGCCCUCGUUCAGUGUUGGACACCUGGCAUGGAUUGUAAGAUCCUUGGGGCAGACAAGAACAGUGACACACUACUUGAGAAAAGCUUGGACAGCAGCUCUAUUUGGCUUAACCUUGUCUUCUCAGUAGGGAGAUCAAACCAGAAUUUUAGUUUCCAGGAAUCUGGAGUCUUUUGGAUGUGAAGCUGAAUAUUAGUAAAAUGUUAGCCCUCAUCCUGCACUUCCCAGUACACAGAGGGGCCACUGUAUUUACAGCUGCAAAAGACAGUCACUGGAGUUACAUAAUCCUUCCUUUAUGGAGUUACCAGUCCCCCAACAGCAAAGUUUAAUACCACUGUUCCUUGGUAAAAGCAGUCUUCAAAGCUAGUCAGCCUUCAAAGCUAGUCCAGUGUGUUGAAACUGGACUUGUCGAUUUAUCAGUUAGCCAAAGAGAGUAAAUGUUGAGCUCUCCGAGUACUUUAAAAUGUCAUUAUUAGUUAUUCUUUUAUAGAAACAAUUUCAAAACUGUUUCAUUUUUUACACAGAUAUGAUUGGCUCCUCCAGCUGUUGUGCUGUUUUAGACUACAUUGUCACCUACCUCUUCAGGAACCUUGCUAAAGACAAGACUCUCAUAUGUACAUAUGUAUUAUAUAUUACAUAUAAUACAUAUGUAUUAUUACAUUUCUGAAUUUUCCUGAUUUUUUGUGGUACUGAACACCAAGGUAGCAUUGGCUAUUUUGGGACAGAACAAACCUCCCUAUGCUGGUAUGCAACCCUGAGUAGCUUCAGCCAUGUUCUCAUGACAAGCAAAGACUGGAGGUAUUUUUUAUCGUAUUGAACAAUGUAGUGUGCUUGGCUGUACAGUAUCUUACAACUUGGUGUUUCAUUUUUGCUCAUAAAAAGGUGUGUGAGAUCAUCAAUACAUUUCUACAGACAAUUGGGAAGGAAAGUCUCUGAAGUAUUUUAGGAGGACAAAGAAAAAUUCUGGCAUUGAACCACACAUUUUGGUAAUGAAAUGUGUAAAUUGAAUGUAUACUGUCAAGUUUGAAUGUUUUAUUUUGCAGUAGGUGACUCUAGUAUUUUUUUCUAUUACAGGUAAAUGCAAUAGAAAUUAAAUCUCAUGCGUCUGAAAAGGAAGUGGCCACUGUACUGCUUAGGAGAGAUUGCCCCUUCCCAGCUCCCCCAGGUUUUCCCCGCCCUAGUACAUUACAGGGAGAUCAGGAUGUUCAUAGCUACAGAUCCCCACAUUUGCUCUGUGCCACAUGCCCUUAAAAUCUCAUUAAACUAUUUGAAAAUGUGUAUUUACAAGCAUCUCUGGAUUCCUAAUGCCGUUGCAGAGAUGCUCUUUAAGAAGGUGUGUUUCACAGGCCAGGAGGCUUUUAAUGGAAAUGGAAGUUAUUAACAAAACGCAAAUGACUAGUGUGGUCAUCUUUGUGUUUCCCUAAGAGGUAGGAGUCAUUUGGAAAAAGCUUGACAUACAGUCAGUUCCUGUUGGUAUUUGCUUGCUGUUCUAAUCGAAGGUGAAAAGGAACAAGUGGUAGCUAAUAUAUUCCUGGCAUUAUAUUGUGAGAAUAUUAAUGAUGUUUAUUAUUGAUGUCAUUAUCAGAAUAUGAUGAUUCCCGUGUCCUAUUACAGGUUCUUAUGUUUUACAUGACCAGUAGGUGGAAGCAGCAGUGAGCGGUGGGGUCUGUCGGAUUGGUCCGUGCUAUGCCACGUGCCAUGAUUGAAGGGAAGGGGCAGGGCACAAGCUGGGCUCUGGGCUGCCCUCCAUUUGUGGCAAUCCUGAUGUAAUACUUUGUCUGUUAAUACACAGUAAUCUUUCACUUUACAGCAUA